CGCAUCCACGUUGUCCAUCGGGCGAGCCGGGCGACUCUGGAGGGACUGCCGGCGACAAGCCGGAGGAAGGUGGGGAUGACGUCAAGUCAUCAUGGCCCUUAUGUCCAGGGCGACACACGUGCUACAAUGGCCGGCACAGCGGGAAGCGGAGGGGCGACCCUGAGCGGAUCCCUUGAAAGCCGGUCCCAGUUCGGAUUGCAGUCUGCAACUCGACUGCAUGAAGUUGGAAUCGCUAGUAAUCGCGGAUCAGCCAAGCCGCGGUGAAUACGUUCCCGGGCCUU
This 281-nucleotide ribosomal RNA is filed under the name uncultured Thermovirga sp. RNAcentral describes it as "partial 16S ribosomal RNA". It matches the Rfam family "Bacterial small subunit ribosomal RNA", at positions 1104 to 1382 of the family's 1533-position model. The record is from RNAcentral. Lineage: Bacteria; Thermotogati; Synergistota; Synergistia; Synergistales; Thermovirgaceae.